CGGCAGCAUACACACCUCAAUUUAAAAAAAAAAUAGGACCGGCACGCUACGGGACAUCACAAUCCUAUAUCGGCACAGUGCUGCUAAAAGGUUGCCUACCCCUGGCCUAGGCUAUCUUUAUGUAGAGCAACAAUUCUUUUUUUUCAGAUCCUCAGAGAGUUCUUUGCCAUGAGGUGCCAUGUUGAACUUCCAGUGACUAGUAUGAGAGUGAUAACACCAAAUUUAACACACCUGCGCCCCAUUCACACCUGAGACCUUGUAACACUAACGAGUCACAUGACACCGGGGAGAGAAAAUGGCUAAUUGGGCCCAAUUCGGACAUUUUCACAUAGGCGUGUACUCACUUUUGUUGCC
This is a non-coding RNA of Pelobates cultripes (western spadefoot toad), 354 nucleotides long. Lineage: Eukaryota; Metazoa; Chordata; Amphibia; Anura; Pelobatidae. The record is from the annotation of a GenBank genome assembly.